This 334-nucleotide long non-coding RNA is filed under the name Oryctolagus cuniculus (rabbit). Its description in RNAcentral is "lncRNA (ENSOCUG00000035925.1)". Lineage: Eukaryota; Metazoa; Chordata; Mammalia; Lagomorpha; Leporidae. The record is from RNAcentral.
GGGUACAUGAAUUAUUAAACAUUUUCAGGGAGUGAUCCGAACAGUGGGUUCUGUGAGUUAGAAACAGGAAGAGCAGCAGCACCAUAAAGCCCUGUACAGACCAUGGAAGGAGCGUGAGCAAAGGUGGGAACGCAGAGCUGAUGCCGGACAGCCUUCCCAGGUGUUAUGGGAGCAGGAGAUCUUACAAAAAUCUCUUUUGACAACCGCUCAUUGUCCCACUCCUUCCAAGCCCCAGUAAGUACCAACUCCCCUUUGCUGAGAGGGUUCAGCUAAGAUUAAGGGUUUCUCCAACAGGAACAGAGCUUGGUGAACUAAGUCAUUAGUCCUAAAAUAU